This 244-nucleotide ribosomal RNA is filed under the name uncultured bacterium. RNAcentral describes it as "partial 16S ribosomal RNA". It matches the Rfam family "Bacterial small subunit ribosomal RNA", at positions 93 to 339 of the family's 1533-position model. The record is from RNAcentral.
GACCGGCGCACGGGUGCGUAACGCGUAUGCAACCUACCCUGUACUGGGGGAUAGCCCGAAGAAAUUCGGAUUAAUACCCCAUAGUAUUAUUUGUUCGCAUGAAUAGAUAAUUAAAGAUUACGGUACGGGAUGGGCAUGCGUCCUAUUAGCUAGAUGGUAAGGUAACGGCUUACCAUGGCGACGAUAGGUAGGGGGCCUGAGAGGGUGAUCCCCCACACUGGUACUGAGACACGGACCAGACUCC